Molecule: long non-coding RNA, 1110 nt
Organism: Zingiber officinale
Lineage: Eukaryota; Viridiplantae; Streptophyta; Magnoliopsida; Zingiberales; Zingiberaceae
Exons: 6
Source: RefSeq, a predicted model, not a curated record
CACUUUACUAAAACCCAAGGCGUGUGACCUAUUUUUCUCCAACACUGACCGAUUCUUUCUCUUCUUCUUCGCGGCGACCUCUGUUUUCCCUGAUCGGUCCCUCGAGUGCUAGGUAGAAGGAGAAGCUCCCAGAGAGGUCACCGCAAAACCCUACUUCCAUCCCGCACUUCCUCUAUCAUAUUUACUGGUUAAAAUCUAGCUUGGAUCUUCCAUAAUCUGCGCCACUAAGCUUCCCUUAUCCUCUCUCCACUUCAAUGUCAAAGUCCCAUGGUUUUCGGCAAAGUUCCAGACGAACUGGUAGUUUCCAAGAAAUUGGGGCUUCUCUUUGAGAGAGAGAGAGAGAGAGUCCUCCUCAUCAUCGACCACCAUGGCGGACAAGCCAUAGGCGGUGCGUGCCCUCUACUGUGGUGUUUGCGACAUUUCUGUGGAGUACUGCGAGUUUGGCCCUAACUUAGAGAAGUGCAAGCCUUGGCUCCGUACCCACGCUCCCGAUAUGUACCCUGAUCCUCAAAGAUGCAGACAAAGCCGCCUAGUAGAUGAAGUCGGUGGCGAUUUUGGGCUCCACUGACGCAAGGGGAGAUGCUGGUGGGCUCCUUUAGGUAGGUAGUGCUUCAACAUCUAAGCAAGAAGAAGUAAAGCGCCUUACUGGUGGUAAGAUAAAGAAGAAGGUGUAAAACUGAGUGAUGCAUCAGAGAAGCUUGAUAAAAAAGUUUGCUAUAGGAGCUUAUGUUGUCAAGGGACCAACCGAGAAAGAAAGAUUGAUGUGCAAGGAAAUAUUGCCUAUGAUAUUGUGGAAUUCAUUACCAAGACUUGAGGUCUACAUUUCUGGACGACCAUUAGAUUUGCUAGAAGUUCAAUUACUAAUUUAGCACGAGAUUAUUUAGGAUAAAAGUUGUGUGAUUUGAAGUAGAAAGUUAAAGAGCUUGCUAAUUUAGCACGAGAUUUGCUGGACUAUGGUUUCUAGUAUAUUUUAACCAGAUAGUAAGAUUUUGUUGCAUAAGAGGGUGUUCCAAUUGUUUAUUUUCAUUAGUUUUUUAUGAUUGGUUAAAUGAUGCACAUAUUGAGUUUUGUAUUUAUUGUUAAAAUGUAAAGUUAUGAUACUUGAAGUGA